RNAcentral lists this ribosomal RNA (231 nucleotides) under uncultured bacterium. RNAcentral's name for it is "partial 16S ribosomal RNA". It matches the Rfam family "Bacterial small subunit ribosomal RNA", at positions 15 to 240 of the family's 1533-position model. The record is from RNAcentral.
GAUCAUGGCUCAGGAUGAACGCUAGCGGCAGGCUUAACACAUGCAAGUCGAGGGGCAGCAUAAUUGAUAGCAAUAUCUAUGGUGGCGACCGGCGCACGGGUGCGUAACGCGUAUGCAACCUACCUUUAACAGGGGGAUAACACUGAGAAAUUGGUACUAAUACCCCAUAAUAUCAUAGAAGGCAUCUUUANGGUUGAAAAUUCCGAUGGUUAGAGAUGGGCAUGCGUUGUA